RNAcentral lists this ribosomal RNA (338 nucleotides) under uncultured bacterium. RNAcentral describes it as "bacterial SSU rRNA". It matches the Rfam family "Bacterial small subunit ribosomal RNA", at positions 55 to 387 of the family's 1533-position model. The record is from RNAcentral.
AUGCAGUCGAGGGGUAACAGGGAUUAGUUUACUAAUUUGCUGACGACCGGCGCACGGGUGAGUAACGCGUAUACAAUUUACCUUUUACAGGAGGAUAGCCCAGAGAAAUUUGGAUUAAUACUCCAUGGUAUUAUCGGAUCGCAUGGUUUGAUAAUUAAAGUUUCGGUGGUAGAAGAUGAGUAUGCGUCCUAUUAGCUGGUUGGUAAGGUAACGGCUUACCAAGGCGACGAUAGGUAGGGGUCCUGAGAGGGAGAUCCCCCACACUGGUACUGAGACACGGACCAGACUCCUACGGGAGGCAGCAGUGAGGAAUAUUGGUCAAUGGAGGCAACUCUGAA